Molecule: ribosomal RNA, 543 nt
Filed under: uncultured Glomeromycotina
Lineage: Eukaryota; Fungi; Glomeromycota
Description: SSU rRNA
Rfam family: Eukaryotic small subunit ribosomal RNA
Source: RNAcentral
AGGGCAAGUCUGGUGCCAGCAGCCGCGGUAAUUCCAGCUCCAAUAGCGUAUAUUAAAGUUGUUGCAGUUAAGAAGCUCGUAGUUGAAUUUCGGGGUUAGUAGGUUGGUCAUGCCACUGGUAUGUACUGAUCUUACUGAUUCCUCCUUCCUGAUGAACCGUAAUGCCAUUAAUUUGGUGUUGCGGGGAGACUGGACUGUUACUUUGAAAAAAUUAGAGUGUUUAAAGCAGGCUAACGCUUGAAUACAUUAGCAUGGAAUAAUGAAAUAGGACGUUCGAUCCUAUUUUGUUGGUUUCUAGGAUUGACGUAAUGAUUAAUAGGGAUAGUUGGGGGCAUUAGUAUUCAAUUGUCAGAGGUGAAAUUCUUGGAUUUAUUGAAGACUAACUACUGCGAAAGCAUUUGCCAAGGAUGUUUUCAUUAAUCAAGAACGAAAGUUAGGGGAUCGAAGACGAUCAGAUACCGUCGUAGUCUUAACCAUAAACUAUGCCGACUAGGGAUCGGAUGAUGUUAAUUUUUUAAUGACUCAUUCGGCGCCUUACGGGAA